GGGAACGUGCCCUUCGGUUCGGAUAACUCAAGGAAACUUGAGCUAAUACCGGAUACCCCUUUUGGGGAAAGGUUUACUGCCUAAGGAUCGGCCCGCGUCUGAUUAGCUUGUUGGUGGGGUAACGGACUACCAUGGCGACGAUGAGUAGCUGGUCUGAGAGGAUGAUCAGCCACACUGGGACUGAGACACGGCCCACACUCCUACAGGAGGCAGCAAUGGGGAAUAUUGGACAAUGGGCGCAAGCCUGAUCCAGCCGUGCCCCGUGAGUGAUGAACGCCUUAGGGUUGUACAGCUCUGUUGUCCGGGACGAUGAUGACUGUGCCGGAAGAGUAAGGCCCGGCUAACUUCGUGCCAGCAGCCGCGGUUAUACAAAGGGGGCUAGCGUUGCUCGUAAUCACUGGCCGUACGGGCGCGUAGGCGGCCGAUUAAUUCGGGGGUGAAAGCCUGUGGCUCACCACAGAAGUGCCUUCGAUACUGGUUGGCUUGAUACCGGAAGAGGACUGCGGAACUGCCAGUGUGAGGUGAAGUUCGUAUAUGUUCGCAGGAACACCAAUGGCGAGUGUAGCUGUCUGGUCCGGUUCUGACGCUGAGACGCGCAAGCGUGAGGAGCAUACACGAUUAUGAUGCCCUGCUAUUCCACGCCAUAGACUAUGAAUGCCAGCCGUUGGACCUGCUCGCAUGUCACUGGCGCCGCUCACGCUAUACACAUUCCCCCGG
Molecule: ribosomal RNA, 717 nt
Filed under: Methylorubrum sp.
Lineage: Bacteria; Pseudomonadati; Pseudomonadota; Alphaproteobacteria; Hyphomicrobiales; Methylobacteriaceae
Description: bacterial SSU rRNA
Rfam family: Bacterial small subunit ribosomal RNA
Source: RNAcentral